GUAGGGGGCAAGCGUUGUCCGGAAUUAUUGGGCGUAAAGCGCGCGCAGGCGGUCUCUUAAGUCCGAUGUGAAAGCCCACGGCUCAACCGUGGAGGGUCAUUGGAAACUGGGGGACUUGAGUGUAGGAGAGGAAAGUGGAAUUCCACGUGUAGCGGUGAAAUGCGUAGAUAUGUGGAGGAACACCAGUGGCGAAGGCGACUUUCUGGCCUACAACUGACGCUGAGGUGCGAAAGCGUGGGGAGCAAACAGGGAUUAGAUACCCUGGUAGUCCACGCCGCAAACGAUGAGUGCUAGGUGUUAGGGGUUUCGAUGCCCUUAGUGCCGAAGUUAACACAUUAAGCACUCCGCCUGGGGAGUACGACCGCAAGGUUG
This 372-nucleotide ribosomal RNA is filed under the name uncultured organism. RNAcentral describes it as "partial 16S ribosomal RNA". It matches the Rfam family "Bacterial small subunit ribosomal RNA", at positions 527 to 896 of the family's 1533-position model. The record is from RNAcentral.